GGCCACUCAUUCCAGGAUAGUGUAUUUAAUUUGUUAUCAAUUGCAGCAAAAAGAGCUGCAUCUUCAAGCCAACCUAGAAUUCUAGGAUCUCUGCGAAAAUCAUCAAGCUGCCUUUUAAGCUCCCCGUGACUUAGAAUGAGCCUCCCUGCUGCCUUUUCUACUAAAGGAUCCUUCAGGUCUGCAACAGUUUCAAACUGCACAUGCUCUGUAUCGAGAU
Molecule: unclassified non-coding RNA, 217 nt
Filed under: Hevea brasiliensis (rubber tree)
Lineage: Eukaryota; Viridiplantae; Streptophyta; Magnoliopsida; Malpighiales; Euphorbiaceae
Source: RNAcentral